Molecule: long non-coding RNA, 2598 nt
Organism: Centrocercus urophasianus (Greater sage-grouse)
Lineage: Eukaryota; Metazoa; Chordata; Aves; Galliformes; Phasianidae
Exons: 4
Source: RefSeq, a predicted model, not a curated record
ACUCUUUCUCCAGCAUUUGCAGGUGUUGUGGGUGCUGCUCGAGUAACAAAUCUUUACAGUCCGAUUUUCUGCACGCCUCCAACAGAUCCCUGUGCUGAUGUUGCUGCCAUCACUGCUGUAAUUCUGUGUUAUAAAAGUACUAUGCCACUGAGGAAAUGAUGCAUUUAAACUGCAGAAGAACACUCUGAAGGUGGAGGUACGAUAACUGCCAGCUUGCUACCACAGUUCGGGCUGCCCUGCUUGCCUCUCCGCGCCAUGGCUCUGGUGAUGGACCUCAUGGGACUCCAAGCAACAGAAAGUGGCACAGGAGCAAUGGACUCUUAACAACUUCACCAUCAAUACUGCUAGGAGAAGAAAUGCAGCCUGCUAGCUGUGCGGGACAAAAGAGGCAACAAAGAAGCUCUAGCAGGUGACCAUGUUACACUACUAAAGAGGCAAACAGCAGAAGUUAAAGUUGUUACCACCUACAAAGUCCAGUUUCCUACCAGGAGAUUGGAGUUCCAGCUGUAGAUGAGAUUAUGCCUCUUCAGAUGCUGAGCUACUCAGAAGCAGAUUUACCCUCGGUGAAAUAAAAAGGAAGACAGCUGAAGAAGAUUCAUAACACCACCCCCUUCUAAAACUACCCAGUAAAGGAAGGAGAAUACCAAGCAGGGAAGCACAAAGAUGAACCUGUCCUCAAUGCUUCACAUAAGGUUACCAUCCACUCCCAUUACCUCUCACUAAUUUAUUUCCAAAUAAAAUACUCUGUUUUAUAGUCUAGCUCUUCACAACGUAAACACAAAACAAAACACACCCAAAGGCAUGACUGAAAAUAGACAGGAAAAUGAUAAAUCUGACAUCAAAUAAGUUGAGGAUGCAGAGCAAGAACAUCUAACAAUAUGACUGUAAAAACUUCUAACAUCAACAUACAAAACAACAAAAACACAUUGUGCCAAAUAAGCACAGGCAGUAAAGAAGCAAAUUAAAGAGACAUCAGGCAAGAACAUUUCAAAAGUUACCAAUUGUGAGAACAUGAAACCCAUAAAGAUGUGUCCUUACUUGGGCACAAAUUCAGCAUGAAACUUAAACACGACUUUGCACUAGGUCAGUCUUACAAACACAAAUGAAUAUCUGCAUCCAAGUUCCAGAGAUGCAUUUUGAUACUACUGCAUAAACAUCAGGUGCAAACAACAAAAAGAACUAGAAAACUAAGACAUCAAUGUUCUGCUCACAAGGAAGCAAAAUUGCUUCUGACAGAUUCUUGGUGAAACCAGACCAAGUAUUCACAAAUAGACCAAUAGUCCUGUACAAAAAGAAUAAAGGCACUCACCCAGCUGGUGAAGGGGCUCCUGGCUGUGCAGCACCCCAUAGCAGCAGACCAGGUCCAAGAGAUGCUCUCCCUUCAUCCCAGAGGCUGGCCCUUAUAUGAGCCCAGGGGCUCCACCUGUGCCACCCCUCCUGGUCAGCUGGGGAGCACAGAUGCAAACAAUCUGCCUGUGCUCCCUGGGCCAGACACAGCCCUGCACCAGGUGCUCCAUCACCACUUCAAGCCCUGCCCUAACCAUUGCCCUGCAGUCAAUCAGAAAAACAACUGAAGAGCUGCUAAGUGCAUGAAUCAGACACUGAAAUUUUUUGGGGGGGUAAGUCUCAAUACUCUGUUUACCUAGUACAGUAAGAACCAAGUUCACAGUUGAGAUGUGCAAUACUAGAAGUAAAACUCAAGCUGCUUAGAAUGAGAUUGUUCUAAAAAGUUGACUGAGUGCUUUCAUAGUUUCAAAAUUAUGAAAUGUAUUAAAAAUAAGCAUGACCAUAUAGUAGGUCAAAAUGACAUGCAAACUUUUUUUUCUCAGCCAACAUAAAAUAUUCAGCAUCUAAGUGCCACCAAUUAGAUUCUAAUAUGAUUUUGCUCAUCAUCGAGUCACCUUUACUUGCUUUUGUACAUCUAGAUAUGCAAAUAUACUGACAAAAUCCUUUAUCCAUUAACGUUAAUUUGAUUAUGCUUUUAAUAAACGCACCAAACCAAAAACCUCUCCCAUCACUUUCAGUGAGAAAGUAUUUCAGCAGGCAUUUUCCAUUGCUGAAAUCUCCACAAGCACGUUCUGAAGUUUCAGCAAUGCUGCUACUGAACAAUGUGGGUAUUCAAUAAUGGUAGCAAAAUCGAUACCAGCAAAAAACUCCCUUUUUAAGUAAAUAAUUCCUUAAGACUUAAGAAAAAUGUCUCCUCUUUUCCUUCUUGUACAUUUUGAGUGCAUCUUCAUCAAUUCUCUUUCCAAGGCAAUUUCUAUAUUUGAAUAAAUUGCUUCUUUGAAGAGUUUCUUCUCAUACCACAAUUUCCCUUCUUCCUUAGUAGCUACUGAGAAUUCACAGAAGAGGUUUUCAAACAGAAGUGAAGCACAGAAAAACAUCUGAACUACAUAACAAAUCUUUUUACGCUGUCAACCACAGAAGUAUUUCCAAAUUUAUACCAGAUUUGUUUUCUUUAAUAAACAUUGUUAGAUUGAAUAGGUGUUUUAAAAAGUUAAGUAUAUAUCUUCUUACACAUGUAACAUUAAAAAAAAUUAGAUCGCACCUAGAAAAUGAGCAUAUUAUUUGGAAUAAAAAAGUCAUGCUAAAAAACUA